RNAcentral lists this ribosomal RNA (467 nucleotides) under uncultured bacterium. RNAcentral describes it as "bacterial SSU rRNA". It matches the Rfam family "Bacterial small subunit ribosomal RNA", at positions 337 to 796 of the family's 1533-position model. The record is from RNAcentral.
GCCUACGGGAGGCAGCAGUCGAGAAUAAUUCACAAUGGGGGCAACCCUGAUGGUGCAACGCCGCGUGGAGGAUGACGGUCUUCGGAUUGUAAACUCCUGUCAUCUGGGAGUAAGGCAUGGUUGUUAAUAGCAAACAUGAUUGAUAGUACCAGAAGAGGAAGGGACGGCUAACUUCGUGCCAGCAGCCGCGGUAAUACGAAGGUCCCAAGCGUUGUUCGGAAUCACUGGGCGUAAAGGGAGCGUAGGCGGCGUGGUAAGUCAGAUGUGAAAUCCCGGGGCUCAACCCCGGAACUGCAUCCGAUACUGCCAUGCUAGAGGAUUGGAGAGGUAGCUGGAAUUCUUGGUGUAGCAGUGAAAUGCGUAGAGAUCAAGAGGAACACUCGUGGCGAAAGCGAGCUACUGGACAAUUCCUGACGCUGAGGCUCGAAGGCUAGGGUAGCGAAAGGGAUUAGAUACCCGCGUAGUCC